This 261-nucleotide ribosomal RNA is filed under the name uncultured prokaryote. RNAcentral describes it as "partial 16S ribosomal RNA". It matches the Rfam family "Bacterial small subunit ribosomal RNA", at positions 524 to 784 of the family's 1533-position model. The record is from RNAcentral.
UACGUAGGUGGCAAGCGUUAUCCGGAAUUAUUGGGCGUAAAGAGCGCGCAGGUGGUUGAUUAAGUCUGAUGUGAAAGCCCACGGCUUAACCGUGGAGGGUCAUUGGAAACUGGUCGACUUGAGUGCAGAAGAGGGAAGUGGAAUUCCAUGUGUAGCGGUGAAAUGCGUAGAGAUAUGGAGGAACACCAGUGGCGAAGGCGAUUCUCUGGACUGUAACUGACGCUGAGGCUCGAAAGCGUGGGGAGCAAACAGGAUUAGAUA